GGGCAAUUUAGCAACUUAGACCUUGUCUCAAAAUAACAAUAAAAUAAUAAUAAUAAUAAUAAUAAUAAUAGUAAAAGGUGUCUGGAAUGUAACUCACUUAAAAGCCUUAGGUUCAAAAGAUUGGGUUCAAUCUCCAAUACAAAAAAAAAAAAAAAAGAGGGAGAACAGCCUGGGAAUGUAGCUCAGUGAUAGAAUACUUGCCUAGUAUGAUGUGGUUCUAGCACCUAAAAAAACAAAUCAACAAAAUUUAGGGCUGGGGACUUAGCUCAGUGGUGCCACUGCCUGCCUCGAAAGCUCAAGGUCCCGAGUUCGAUCUCCGGUACCAAAAAUAAAUAAAUAAAAAUAUUGGCCUGACUCUUCCAUACUCUAGGAGACCCUCGUGUUAAUAAUGAGCACCCAUAACAUAGUCUGAGGUUAAUGCUAUUCCAUCAGGUUUCUUAAGUAUGAAGAAAAAAUAAAUCGUGAUUUUUUUUCUUUUAUCCUUUCAUCCAUGAAUGUGAUUGAAUGAUAUUGACAGAUUUUCUGCUGUUGGCCAUUGUUUUACUACUGGGAUAAUUCUUAUAUAAAUACCCUGUUGAAUUUGGUUGCCUAUUAUUUUAUUGAGGAUAUUUGCAUUUUUAAUUCCUUAAUUUCUAUUCCAUGAUCUAUGCAAUCUGACUAUUCCCUCUUAACGUUCUCUGCUGGAACUGCAAUCUCAGCACUGCCCUGGACACUAGGGUACACCAAUGGUUGAGCUAUAGUCCCUGUUUUUAACAGCUUUCCUCUAAUGACAGGAACAGAUAUUUGUACAAUUUGUAUAGUCAUAAGAGUUAUGCAACUAGAGGGCUUCUUUCCAAGGUAAAUGGAUUGUGAACCCUGGUCAAGCAGGUCAGCUUCCUUUUCCUUGGAUAUACCCCAGUGCUCUUGCUUAUCCCUUUACCUCAGCCUUUUCUGCUGAUUUUUGGUACAUGACUCCUGCACAAAAGCAAGAUGGAACCAUAUAAAGAUUGUGCCAGUGACUAAGAGCACAGCCCCAAAUGUAGGCUGUGCCUCUUACUACAGUAGUUAUAUGCCGGGGCAUAAUGUAUCGCCUCUCAAAGAACCCAUUUCCUUAUCUGUCAAAUUGCGAAUAAUGAUCAGACCUUCAUUACAAGAGGACACAGCAAGCUAAACUGUGAAGGCUUUUAACACUAGGCCUGACAGGUUGCCAGGGUAAACCAGGGUUUUCCACUUCUGUCCUUCUGUUAUUAUUCCUGGCCCACAAGGUCAUGGAAGUUUUUCCUUCUGACUAUGUGUAUGUGGGGGGGAGUACUGGGUAUGAAACCUGGGGCACUGUACUUCUGAGCUACAUCCCCACCCCUUUUUACUUUUUUAUUUGGAGACAGGGUCUCACUAAAUUGUCCAGGGUGACCUCAAACUUGUGAUCCUCCUACCUCAGCCUCCCCAGUGGCUGGGACUGCAGGUGUGUACCAUCAUGCAUAGCUUAAAUCUCUGAUUUUUUGAGGUAGUUGUUUGGGAGACAGGGUCUUGCUAUGUUGCACAGACUGGCCUUGUACUCAUGAUCCUCCUGUCUCCAUCUCCUUAUUAGCUGGGAUUGCAGGUGUGCACUUCUGUGCCUGGCUUGACCUCUGACAUUUGACAGCAGCUAAGUAACAUCAUUCUUUUUAUAUUUCAUCAUGUUCCUCAGGCAGUAAUAUUCUGUGUGUCUCAUUUGGCUUCUUGCGCUACCAUUUAAUAGCUGUUUGUAUUGUAGGCAAGUUAUUUAAUCUUUUACAAAGUCUAUUUUCCUAUCUUUAAAAGGAGCAUAAUUAUAGUACCUAUUUCAUAGGUAUGUCAAACAAAUUAAAUUAUGAAUAUACAUAAAAACCUACCAGAGUGCUUACCACAUAAGUAAUUAAUACAUGUUAGCUGUUUUCAAUUUUAGUUCUAUUACUGACAAGAUUGUAUGCUUCCUCUGGGUUUGGUGGCACUUGCCUGUCUGUAAUCCGGGCAUCCUGGGAGGCUGAUGCAGAAGGAUGAAAAGUUUGAGCCCAGCCUGGCAACUUAGCAAGACAUUGCCCUUCCCCUGCCCCCCAAAAAAGAGGGCCAGGGAUGGAGCUCAGUGCAAAGGCCCUGGGUUCAAUCCCCAAAUACAUGAAUGAAUGGGCGAGGGAUGUAGUUCUUUCUGCAUGAAGGAGCUAGUGUGCUUGUGCACGCACACACACAAAUUUAAACCAUGUAUAAAAAGUAAUUUGCACAGUCCUGGGAACCAGUUUUAAUUUGCACAGUCCUAGGAACCAGCUAAUAAUUAUAUUGUUUUGCUUUUUGUGACAAAAAGUCUUAUUUUCAGUGUUAGUCCAAUCUGGUGAAUGUUUAAACCUAAACUGGUCUAAAAGUUCUCACCUUUCUCCUAAGUUUGUAAACCUUGUUUCCAUUCAUUUAUUACAUCUUGUCAUCUGCUGAGCUCAGAUAAUUAAACUUAUGUCCAAAAUUAUUAAAAAAUGAAAAAAGAUUAUGCUUUUUAAGAGAGGGACUGUGUUUUGUAGUAUAGCAUAAUGGUUAGGAGCACAGACUGGAAUUUUGAGUUCAAGUUCAAACUCCACUGCAAGGGCUAGAGGUAUAGCUCAGUGGUAGAUAGAGAGCUUAGCAUGUGCACUGCCCUGGACUGAAUCCCAGCACCAAAAAACAAAACAAAACAAAACUUCAUGGCCAGCAUGUUUUUUAAGCAGGAGGAAAGCUCUGUAGGCCUUGGUUGGUAAGUCUGAUCUAGAGCCCUGUUCCCAGAGGUUAUAGAGAUUAAAUGAAAUCAUCCACUCAUUCAGCAUUUAGCACAGGGCCUGGCAUAAAUAUUCAUUUACUGUACUAACUUUUAUUUAGCACUUACUAAAAGUUUUAUUUAGCACUAAAUACUUCUGUGAAACCCACUGCCCCUACCUAACUUAACUCAUCUGAUAGUCUUUUAUCUGUUUCUUUUUUGUGUUUUAGGUGGGUUUUUUUCGGUACCAGGGAUCGAAGUAGGGUCCUUGUGCUUGUGAGGCAGGCGGCAGAACCACUGAGCUAAAUCCUUGAUAGUCUUUUAAAUACGUAUUGAAUGUAGAAAUGAAUUGGUGGAUGUGGACCUACAGACCAAAAAAUCUUGCCUGUUUUAGUGAGUUUGUCUCGAGUUAACAUUCCUUGUUCCUCUUCUGUGAGCUGGUGCCUAAGCCACAUUCUCAACAUCUCAACAUCUGUGAUAGCAGGAAGAGAUUAUGGAGAAGGGGAGCUUUCUGACACCAACCUUCCAUUUUAAUCAUCCUGUUGAGAUUUCAUCUUACCCCAGAAAGAAUGGCUAUCAUCAAGAAAUCAAACAAUAACAAAUGCUGGUGAGGAUGUGGGGAAAAAGGAACCCUUCUGCAUUGUUGGUGGGAGUGUAAAUGAGUAUAAUCACUAUGGAAAUCAGUGUGGAGAUUCCUCAAAAAACUAAAAAUAGAAAUUACAUUUGACCCAGCUAUUCCCAUUCAAGGUGUCUUCCCAAAAGAAUUAAAGACAUCAUAUUACAAGGAUACAGGGAUACAUGGGUAUCCAUGUUUAUAGCAGCAGAAUUCAUAAUAGCUAAAUCUCGGAAGUAGCCUAGAUGCCCAUCAACAGAUGAUAAAGAAAAUGUGGUAUUUAUACAAAACAGUACUACUCUCACAUAAACAAAGAUAAAUGGAGGCAUUCAUAGGUAAAUAGAUGUAAUUUGAGACCAUAACAUUAAGUGAAAUAAGUCAGACACACAAGUUUACCUCAUGGUUUCAUAUAUAGAGGGAGGGAGAGGGAUAAAGAGGAAAUAAGGAGUUCUUUUUCAAAUGGC
Molecule: long non-coding RNA, 3790 nt
Organism: Heterocephalus glaber (naked mole-rat)
Lineage: Eukaryota; Metazoa; Chordata; Mammalia; Rodentia; Bathyergidae
Source: Ensembl